RNAcentral lists this ribosomal RNA (1439 nucleotides) under Staphylococcus saprophyticus. RNAcentral's name for it is "bacterial SSU rRNA". It matches the Rfam family "Bacterial small subunit ribosomal RNA". The record is from RNAcentral. Lineage: Bacteria; Bacillati; Bacillota; Bacilli; Caryophanales; Staphylococcaceae.
UGCCUAUACAUGCAAGUCGAGCGAACAGAUAAGGAGCUUGCUCCUUUGACGUUAGCGGCGGACGGGUGAGUAACACGUGGGUAACCUACCUAUAAGACUGGGAUAACUUCGGGAAACCGGAGCUAAUACCGGAUAACAUUUGGAACCGCAUGGUUCUAAAGUGAAAGAUGGUUUUGCUAUCACUUAUAGAUGGACCCGCGCCGUAUUAGCUAGUUGGUAAGGUAACGGCUUACCAAGGCGACGAUACGUAGCCGACCUGAGAGGGUGAUCGGCCACACUGGAACUGAGACACGGUCCAGACUCCUACGGGAGGCAGCAGUAGGGAAUCUUCCGCAAUGGGCGAAAGCCUGACGGAGCAACGCCGCGUGAGUGAUGAAGGGUUUCGGCUCGUAAAACUCUGUUAUUAGGGAAGAACAAAUGUGUAAGUAACUGUGCACGUCUUGACGGUACCUAAUCAGAAAGCCACGGCUAACUACGUGCCAGCAGCCGCGGUAAUACGUAGGUGGCAAGCGUUAUCCGGAAUUAUUGGGCGUAAAGCGCGCGUAGGCGGUUUCUUAAGUCUGAUGUGAAAGCCCACGGCUCAACCGUGGAGGGUCAUUGGAAACUGGGAAACUUGAGUGCAGAAGAGGAAAGUGGAAUUCCAUGUGUAGCGGUGAAAUGCGCAGAGAUAUGGAGGAACACCAGUGGCGAAGGCGACUUUCUGGUCUGUAACUGACGCUGAUGUGCGAAAGCGUGGGGAUCAAACAGGAUUAGAUACCCUGGUAGUCCACGCCGUAAACGAUGAGUGCUAAGUGUUAGGGGGUUUCCGCCCCUUAGUGCUGCAGCUAACGCAUUAAGCACUCCGCCUGGGGAGUACGACCGCAAGGUUGAAACUCAAAGGAAUUGACGGGGACCCGCACAAGCGGUGGAGCAUGUGGUUUAAUUCGAAGCAACGCGAAGAACCUUACCAAAUCUUGACAUCCUUUGAAAACUCUAGAGAUAGAGCCUUCCCCUUCGGGGGACAAAGUGACAGGUGGUGCAUGGUUGUCGUCAGCUCGUGUCGUGAGAUGUUGGGUUAAGUCCCGCAACGAGCGCAACCCUUAAGCUUAGUUGCCAUCAUUAAGUUGGGCACUCUAGGUUGACUGCCGGUGACAAACCGGAAGAAAGGUGGGGAUGACGUCAAAUCAUCAUGCCCCUUAUGAUUUGGGCUACACACGUGCUACAAUGGACAAUACAAAGGGCAGCUAAACCGCGAGGUCAUGCAAAUCCCAUAAAGUUGUUCUCAGUUCGGAUUGUAGUCUGCAACUCGACUACAUGAAGCUGGAAUCGCUAGUAAUCGUAGAUCAGCAUGCUACGGUGAAUACGUUCCCGGGUCUUGUACACACCGCCCGUCACACCACGAGAGUUUGUAACACCCGAAGCCGGUGGAGUAACCAUUUAUGGAGCUAGCCGUUCGAUAG